GAAUGAUUGCCAUUAGCAGAAUGGCAGUGCUGUAUCCCCAAGUUAUAGUUGAUCAUCCCUUUUUCUUUUUGGUCAGAAACAGAAGAACAGGUACCGUGUUAUUCAUGGGAAGGGUAAUGCACCCUGAAGCAAUGAAUACAAGUGGCCACGACUUCGAAGAGCUUUAACUGCCACCAGCUACCAAAAAGAGGAGAUAAGCACAUAAAGUUUGAAGUUAAUAUAUUUAAGGUUUGCUGUGUUUUUCCCCCAAGAUAUUGUUUAAAAUGCUUUCAGAUCUAACUGUGUGCAAGUCAGUUUCCAGAGGAAAGCUUACAGUAUUAAAUAAUGGUUCUGUUACUGUCAUUGUGGUUGCUGUGUCCUUAAAAUAAACCUGUGUACAUGUCAACAA
This is a long non-coding RNA of Antrostomus carolinensis (chuck-will's-widow), 388 nucleotides long. RefSeq lists it as uncharacterized. NCBI's taxonomy places the organism in Eukaryota, Metazoa, Chordata, Aves, Caprimulgiformes, Caprimulgidae. The transcript has 2 exons. The record is from RefSeq and is a predicted model, not a curated record.